This 635-nucleotide ribosomal RNA is filed under the name uncultured bacterium. RNAcentral describes it as "bacterial SSU rRNA". It matches the Rfam family "Bacterial small subunit ribosomal RNA", at positions 9 to 633 of the family's 1533-position model. The record is from RNAcentral.
GAGUUUGAUCCUGGCUCAGGAUGAACGCUAGCGAUAGGCUUAACACAUGCAAGUCGAGGGGCAGCAUGAUCUUAGCUUGCUAAGGUUGAUGGCGACCGGCGCACGGGUGCGUAACGCGUAUGCAACUUGCCUUACAGAGGGGGAUAACCCGUUGAAAGACGGGCUAAAACCGCAUACACUUGUAUUAUUGCAUGAUAUUACAAGGAAAUAUUUAUAGCUGUAAGAUAGGCAUGCGUCCCAUUAGCUGGUUGGUGAGGUAACGGCUCACCAAGGCGACGAUGGGUAGGGGAACUGAGAGGUUUAUCCCCCACACUGGUACUGAGACACGGACCAGACUCCUACGGGAGGCAGCAGUGAGGAAUAUUGGUCAAUGGGCGAGAGCCUGAACCAGCCAAGUCGCGUGAAGGAAGACAGUCCUAAGGAUUGUAAACUUCUUUUAUACGGGAAUAACGGGCGAUACGAGUAUUGCAUUGAAUGUACCGUAAGAAUAAGCAUCGGCUAACUCCGUGCCAGCAGCCGCGGUAAUACGGAGGAUGCGAGCGUUAUCCGGAUUUAUUGGGUUUAAAGGGUGCGUAGGUUGUUCGGUAAGUCAGCGGUGAAACCUGAGCGCUCAACGUUCAGCCUGCCGUUGAAAC